AAGACUGACCUCAUCUUGAUCUAGGUAUAUCUUACCAGAGGUUGGUAAUUCAAGACCCGCUAUCAUUCUAAGAGUAGUAGUUUUCCCACAUCCAGAAGGGCCAAGUAGUACAAAAAAUUCUUUAUUAUUGAUUGUAAGAUUAGAGUUUUUAACAGCCGUAAAGUCAGCAAAUGAUUUUUGAAGGUUUUCUAUUUUAAUAGUUGCCAUUUUUAAUCCGGAAAGUGACUAGUGAUUACAAAACCAAUAGUUCCUACUAAAAUUACAAUAAAAGAAUAAGUAUACAUCCACAUAGCAAAGGGUUGCAUAAGCAUAAAAACACCAAUUAAAAUCAAAGCAGUGGAAAUAUUUUCCCAAAUACCUCUUUUAAAAAUUCUUCUCAAUAAACUUUUAUUUUCCUGUUUCAUUAUUUUCUAACCGCUCCAAAUGUAAUACCUCUCAGUAAGUGUUUGCGAAGAAUUACUGUAAAAAUCAUAACAGGAAGUAGAAACAAUGUUGUACCUGCAGCGAUUGCUGGCCAAUCUAUGCCUCCUUCACCAAUGAUAGUAGGAAUAAAUGGCGGCGCUGUUUGGGCAUUAAACUGUGUAAGUAAAACAGCAAAAGCAUAUUCAUUCCAAGAGAAAAUCAUACAAAAGAUUGCUGUUGCAGCAAUACCCGUAGUAGCUUGAGGUAGUACAAUUUUAAAAAAAGCCUGGAAUCUUGUGUAAGUGAUCUCGUUUUGAGCAGGUUGAAGAAAGCGUAAAGUCUUUUGGAGGACCGAACCGACGUCUGUAGCAAUAGGCGCGGAUGACUUGAUACGAGGGGUGAAAGGCCAAUCAAACUUAGAAAUAGCUGGUUCUUCGCGAAAUUUAUUGAGGUAAAGCGUCUAUUAAAUCUUUCUGGGGGUAGAGCACUUAUUGAGCUAUGGGGGUCCAAAACCUUACUGCUCUCAAGAAAACUCCGAAUACCAGUAAAGUAUAAUAGGCAGACAGACAAGCAGUGCUAAGGUUGCUUGUCGAAAGGGAAACAGCCCAGCCUGGCCGCUAAGGUCCCAAAGCAUUCUGUGAGUGGGAAAAGAUGUGAUACAACUAUGACAACUAGGAGGUUGGCUUGGAAGCAGCCAUUCUAUCAUGAAAGCGUAAUAGCUCACUAGUCGAGUUGUCUUGCGCUGAAAAUGUAUCGGGGCUGAACAGAAUCACCGAAGCGCCAGUUUUUAGGUAGCGAAGCGUUUUGUGCGCCAAUGAACACAUAUCGUAAGAUGUGUGGAAGGUCUCAAAAGUGACUAUGCUGACAUGAGUAACGAAAAAUCAUGUAAAGCCAUGAUCGCCGUAAGUUCAAGGGUUUCUGCUAACUGGGAAUCAGUGCAGAGUUAAGUUCGGUCCCUAAGAGUUUGUAUACACUUAUACGCUCGAUGGAGGACGUUUAUGCAAGACGGCUAUCUAAUACACAAAUACUGCAAAAUGGAUACGGUGUAUGUGUGUCAUAGUCCAGGAAAAAAGCAUUAAUGCAAGACCGUACCCGAAACCGACACAGGUGAACGAGUCGAGUAGACUCAGGCGUUGAGUGAACCAUAUUGAAGGAACUCGGCAAAAUAAUCCCGUACCUUAGGAAGAAGGGAUACCGAAAGGUGACACAAAAAUGGGGGUGACGACUUUUUACUAAAAAAUUAGGACUCUGCAAAAUGGUAACAUGCUGUAUAGGGUCUGACGUCUGCCCGGUGCUAGAAGUCUAAAAGGCGCAUUGCAAGAUGCAAAUGGAAAGCCUAGUAAACGGCGGUUGUAACUAUAACAAUCAUAAAGUAGCGAAAUUCAUUGCCAGCUAAUUCCUGGCCUGCAUGAAAGACGUAACGAUUGCCCCACUGUCUCCAGUAUGGACUCAGUGAAAUUGAAUUCUCCGUGCAGAUGCGGAGUACGUGCCCCAAGACGAGAAGACCCUGUGCAUCUUUACUGUACAUUUGCAUUGACAAAACGAUGAGCAUGCGUAGGAUAGGUGGGAGUACAUACAUCCUUGAAAUACCACCCUUGCCAUGGAUUUUGUCUUACACCAAUUUUGGUGCACAAUGCAUGUGAGGCAGUUUGACUGGGGCGGUCGCCUCCUAAAAGGUAACGGAGGCGUGCGAAGGUAAACUCAAUGCAAGACGGAAACUUGCUGAAGAGCGUAAUGGUAUAUGUUUGCCUGACUGUAAGAUGUACACAUCAAACAGAGACGAAAGUCGGCCAUAAUGAUCCACAAGUGCCGCGUGGAAGGGCUUGUGCUUAACGAAUCAAAGAUACGCCAGGGAUAACAGGCUGAUAAUUCCCAAGAGUCCUUAUCGACGGAAUUGUUUGGCACCUCGAUGUUGACUGAUCAUAUCCUGGGGCUGAAGAAGGUCCCAAGGGUUCGGCUGUUCGCCGAAUAAAAUGGUACCUGAGUUGAGUUUAGAACGUCGUGAGACAGUUUGGAUUCUACCUGGGGUGCGCGUAAAAGAAUUGUGAAAACCACGUCCUUGUACGAGAGGACCGGACGUGUACAACCACUGGUCGAGUAAUUGUUUUGCCGAAAGCAUUGUUACCAGGCUACGUUGUGACAGGAAAAGAACUGAAAGCAUCUCAAGUUCGAAACUUUUUUCGAGACAAAUUCUUUAAAAUGUCGUGAAAGAUUAUCACGUUAAUAGCCGAGCUGUCUAUACCAUGAAAAUGAGUAAUGCAUGCUCGGACUAAUCUUUGUUAUUUAAUUCC
This 2693-nucleotide ribosomal RNA is filed under the name marine metagenome. Its description in RNAcentral is "bacterial LSU rRNA". The stretch from base 584 to 2693 matches the Rfam family "Bacterial large subunit ribosomal RNA". The record is from RNAcentral.